RNAcentral lists this ribosomal RNA (253 nucleotides) under uncultured bacterium. RNAcentral's name for it is "partial 16S ribosomal RNA". It matches the Rfam family "Bacterial small subunit ribosomal RNA", at positions 524 to 776 of the family's 1533-position model. The record is from RNAcentral.
UACGUAGGGUGCGAGCGUUGUCCGGAAUUAUUGGGCGUAAAGAGCGUGUAGGCGGCCCGAUUAGUCCGCUGUGAAAGUCCAGGGCUCAACCCUGGAAUGCCGGUGGAUACUGUCGGGCUAGAGUACGGAAGAGGCAAGUGGAAUUCCUGGUGUAGCGGUGGAAUGCGCAGAUAUCAGGAGGAACACCUAUAGCGAAGGCAGCUUGCUGGGACGUUACUGACGCUAAGGCGCGAAAGCGUGGGGAGCGAACAGG